RNAcentral lists this ribosomal RNA (347 nucleotides) under uncultured bacterium. RNAcentral describes it as "bacterial SSU rRNA". It matches the Rfam family "Bacterial small subunit ribosomal RNA", at positions 28 to 372 of the family's 1533-position model. The record is from RNAcentral.
GACGAACGCUGGCGGCGUGCUUAAUACAUGCAAGUCAACUGAACUUAGGAUGGCAAUAUUUUAAGGGAGGUGGCGCACGGGUGAGUAACACGUAGGUAAUCUGCCUUUAGGUCUGACAUAACCUACCGAAAGGUAGGCUAAAAUCAGAUGAUGCAGCGGCUCGACAUCGAGACAGUUGUUAAAUCUUCGGAGCCUAAAGAUGAGCCUGCGUCUGAUUAGGUAGUUGGCGGUGUAAUGGACCACCAAGCCUGCGAUCAGUAGCUGGUCUGAGAGGAUGAUCAGCCACACUGGAACUGAGACACGGUCCAGACUCCUACGGGAGGCAGCAGUAAGGAAUAUUGCUCAAU